CCUUCGAUAGCUCAGUUGGUAGAGCGGUGGACUGUAGAAGAAUAAAGCAGUAAACAGAAAUCCAUAGGUCGCUGGUUCAAAUCCGGCUCGAAGGA
Molecule: transfer RNA, 95 nt
Filed under: Aedes aegypti (yellow fever mosquito)
Lineage: Eukaryota; Metazoa; Arthropoda; Insecta; Diptera; Culicidae
Description: partial tRNA-OTHER
Rfam family: tRNA
About the family: Transfer RNA (tRNA) molecules are approximately 80 nucleotides in length. Their secondary structure includes four short double-helical elements and three loops (D, anti-codon, and T loops). Further hydrogen bonds mediate the characteristic L-shaped molecular structure. tRNAs have two regions of fundamental functional importance: the anti-codon, which is responsible for specific mRNA codon recognition, and the 3' end, to which the tRNAs corresponding amino acid is attached (by aminoacyl-tRNA synthetases). tRNAs cope with the degeneracy of the genetic code in two manners: having more than one tRNA (with a specific anti-codon) for a particular amino acid; and 'wobble' base-pairing, i.e. permitting non-standard base-pairing at the 3rd anti-codon position.
Source: RNAcentral